GAUGAACGCUGGCGGCGUGCUUAACACAUGCAAGUCGAACUGAAAGGCCCAAGCUUGCUUGGGUACUCGAGUGGCGAACGGGUGAGUAACACGUGGGUGAUCUGCCCUGCACUUCGGGAUAAGCCUGGGGAACUGGGUCUAAUACCGGAUAGGACGAUGGUUUGGAUGCCAUUGUGGAAAGUUUUUUCGGUGUGGGAUGAGCUCGCGGCCUAUCAGCUUGUUGGUGGGGUAAUGGCCUACCAAGGCGUCGACGGGUAGCCGGCCUGAGAGGGUGUACGGCCACAUUGGGACUGAGAUACGGCCCAGACUCCUACGGGAGGCAGCAGUGGGGAAUAUUGCACAAUGGGCGCAAGCCUGAUGCAGCGACGCCGCGUGGGGGAGGACGGCCUUCGGGUUGUAAACUCCUUUCGCUAGGGACGAAGCGUUUUUGUGACGGUACCUGGAGAAGAAGCACCGGCUAACUACGU
Molecule: ribosomal RNA, 467 nt
Filed under: uncultured bacterium
Lineage: Bacteria
Description: partial 16S ribosomal RNA
Rfam family: Bacterial small subunit ribosomal RNA
Source: RNAcentral